RNAcentral lists this ribosomal RNA (483 nucleotides) under uncultured bacterium. Its description in RNAcentral is "partial 16S ribosomal RNA". It matches the Rfam family "Bacterial small subunit ribosomal RNA", at positions 28 to 507 of the family's 1533-position model. The record is from RNAcentral.
GACGAACGCUGGCGGCGUGCUUAACACAUGCAAGUCGAACGAUGAAGCGGGUGCUUGCACUCGUGGAUUAGUGGCGAACGGGCGAGUAACACGUGAGUAACCUGUCCUUUUCUUUGGGAUAACGGCUGGAAACGGCUGCUAAUACUGGAUAUUCAGGCUGCAUCGCAUGGUGUGGUUUGGAAAGGUUUUUUCUGGGAUUGGGUGGGCUCGCGGCCUAUCAGCUUGUUGGUGGGGUGAUGGCCUACCAAGGCUUUGACGGGUAGCCGGCCUGAGAGGGUGGUCGGUCGCACUGGGACUGAGAUACGGCCCAGACUCCUACGGGAGGCAGCAGUGGGGAAUAUUGCACAAUGGACGAAAGUUUGAUGCAGCGACGCCGCGUGGAGGGUGUAGGCCUUCGGGUUGUGAACUCCUUUUUCUCGCGAAAAAGGCACAGUUUUGGCUGUGUUGAUGGUAGUGGGGGAAGAAGCGCCGGCUAACUACGUG